AUGAAUAUGAUGCUGCCUGGGCUGGAUAGAGAUGGUGUUUCUCAGAAAACAAGAUUCAAAGGCCAAGGAACUCUGCCUGUACAGCAUUACUUCUCCUGUGCCCAUGAUGUCCUUUUCCCUGUAGACACAGCACCUCCAGUCCCUUCUAGACACAGCUAUAUUUUCCUCACUGAAGCACCCUGAGCAGCUGAGGAGAUCAUGGAUCAGAUUCUGUUGCUGUUUAUGAGAAGGCAAAUCUGGACCAACCAGGUGAACAAAACCAGCUAAAGCAUUUUGACAGUUUCUACUGAAAUCAGAAUUUCACCAUUGUUGCAGAUUAGAGAACUGAGUGCCAACUGGGAAAAUAAACUGGGUCCUCUGUGCUAAUAUAGAGACUAA
Molecule: long non-coding RNA, 378 nt
Filed under: Phasianus colchicus (ring-necked pheasant)
Lineage: Eukaryota; Metazoa; Chordata; Aves; Galliformes; Phasianidae
Description: lncRNA (ENSPCLG00000012244.1)
Source: RNAcentral